This is a long non-coding RNA of Telopea speciosissima, 92 nucleotides long. RefSeq lists it as uncharacterized. Lineage: Eukaryota; Viridiplantae; Streptophyta; Magnoliopsida; Proteales; Proteaceae. The record is from RefSeq and is a predicted model, not a curated record. The transcript is spliced from 3 exons.
GUUAUUUCCCUUUAAAAUAAAGUAAUUUCCCCUGCAUUGACUCAAUCCAAGACAAUACUAAUUUAUCAUAGAUAAUACCGUGAAAAUACUGC